RNAcentral lists this ribosomal RNA (465 nucleotides) under Vreelandella stevensii. Its description in RNAcentral is "partial 16S ribosomal RNA". It matches the Rfam family "Bacterial small subunit ribosomal RNA", at positions 338 to 795 of the family's 1533-position model. The record is from RNAcentral. Lineage: Bacteria; Pseudomonadati; Pseudomonadota; Gammaproteobacteria; Oceanospirillales; Halomonadaceae.
CCUACGGGAGGCAGCAGUGGGGAAUAUUGGACAAUGUGCGAAAGCCUGAUCCAGCCAUGCCGCGUGUGUGAAGAAGGCCUUCGGGUUGUAAAGCACUUUCAGUGGGGAAGAAAGCCUUGGGGCUAAUACCCUCGAGGAAGGACAUCACCCACAGAAGAAGCACCGGCUAACUCCGUGCCAGCAGCCGCGGUAAUACGGAGGGUGCGAGCGUUAAUCGGAAUUACUGGGCGUAAAGCGCGCGUAGGCGGUCUGAUAAGCCGGUUGUGAAAGCCCCGGGCUCAACCUGGGAACGGCAUCCGGAACUGUCCGGCUAGAGUGCAGGAGAGGAAGGUAGAAUUCCCGGUGUAGCGGUGAAAUGCGUAGAGAUCGGGAGGAAUACCAGUGGCGAAGGCGGCCUUCUGGACUGACACUGACGCUGAGGUGCGAAAGCGUGGGUAGCAAACAGGAUUAGAUACCCGUGUAGUC